GAUGAACGCUGGCGGCGUGCCUAAUACAUGCACGUCGAGCGAACAGAUGAGGAGCUUGCUCCUCUGACGUUAGCGGCGGACGGGUGAGUAACACGUGGAUAACCUACCUAUAAGACUGGGAUAACUUCGGGAAACCGGAGCUAAUACCGGAUAAUAUAUUGAACCGCAUGGUUCAAUAGUGAAAGACGGUUUUGCUGUCACUUAUAGAUGGAUCCGCGCCGCAUUAGCUAGUUGGUAAGGUAACGGCUUACCAAGGCAACGAUGCGUAGCCGACCUGAGAGGGUGAUCGGCCACACUGGAACUGAGACACGGUCCAGACUCCUACGGGAGGCAGCAGUAGGGAAUCUUCCGCAAUGGGCGAAAGCCUGACGGAGCAACGCCGCGUGAGUGAUGAAGGUCUUCGGAUCGUAAAACUCUGUUAUUAGGGAAGAACAAAUGUGUAAGUAACUAUGCACGUCUUGACGGUACCUAAUCAGAAAGCCACGGCUAACUACGUG
This 497-nucleotide ribosomal RNA is filed under the name uncultured bacterium. Its description in RNAcentral is "partial 16S ribosomal RNA". It matches the Rfam family "Bacterial small subunit ribosomal RNA", at positions 28 to 507 of the family's 1533-position model. The record is from RNAcentral.